Molecule: ribosomal RNA, 2517 nt
Filed under: Escherichia coli
Lineage: Bacteria; Pseudomonadati; Pseudomonadota; Gammaproteobacteria; Enterobacterales; Enterobacteriaceae
Description: partial 23S ribosomal RNA
Rfam family: Bacterial large subunit ribosomal RNA
Source: RNAcentral
GGGACACGUGGUAUCCUGUCUGAAUAUGGGGGGACCAUCCUCCAAGGCUAAAUACUCCUGACUGACCGAUAGUGAACCAGUACCGUGAGGGAAAGGCGAAAAGAACCCCGGCGAGGGGAGUGAAAAAGAACCUGAAACCGUGUACGUACAAGCAGUGGGAGCACGCUUAGGCGUGUGACUGCGUACCUUUUGUAUAAUGGGUCAGCGACUUAUAUUCUGUAGCAAGGUUAACCGAAUAGGGGAGCCGAAGGGAAACCGAGUCUUAACUGGGCGUUAAGUUGCAGGGUAUAGACCCGAAACCCGGUGAUCUAGCCAUGGGCAGGUUGAAGGUUGGGUAACACUAACUGGAGGACCGAACCGACUAAUGUUGAAAAAUUAGCGGAUGACUUGUGGCUGGGGGUGAAAGGCCAAUCAAACCGGGAGAUAGCUGGUUCUCCCCGAAAGCUAUUUAGGUAGCGCCUCGUGAAUUCAUCUCCGGGGGUAGAGCACUGUUUCGGCAAGGGGGUCAUCCCGACUUACCAACCCGAUGCAAACUGCGAAUACCGGAGAAUGUUAUCACGGGAGACACACGGCGGGUGCUAACGUCCGUCGUGAAGAGGGAAACAACCCAGACCGCCAGCUAAGGUCCCAAAGUCAUGGUUAAGUGGGAAACGAUGUGGGAAGGCCCAGACAGCCAGGAUGUUGGCUUAGAAGCAGCCAUCAUUUAAAGAAAGCGUAAUAGCUCACUGGUCGAGUCGGCCUGCGCGGAAGAUGUAACGGGGCUAAACCAUGCACCGAAGCUGCGGCAGCGACGCUUAUGCGUUGUUGGGUAGGGGAGCGUUCUGUAAGCCUGUGAAGGUGUGCUGUGAGGCAUGCUGGAGGUAUCAGAAGUGCGAAUGCUGACAUAAGUAACGAUAAAGCGGGUGAAAAGCCCGCUCGCCGGAAGACCAAGGGUUCCUGUCCAACGUUAAUCGGGGCAGGGUGAGUCGACCCCUAAGGCGAGGCCGAAAGGCGUAGUCGAUGGGAAACAGGUUAAUAUUCCUGUACUUGGUGUUACUGCGAAGGGGGGACGGAGAAGGCUAUGUUGGCCGGGCGACGGUUGUCCCGGUUUAAGCGUGUAGGCUGGUUUUCCAGGCAAAUCCGGAAAAUCAAGGCUGAGGCGUGAUGACGAGGCACUACGGUGCUGAAGCAACAAAUGCCCUGCUUCCAGGAAAAGCCUCUAAGCAUCAGGUAACAUCAAAUCGUACCCCAAACCGACACAGGUGGUCAGGUAGAGAAUACCAAGGCGCUUGAGAGAACUCGGGUGAAGGAACUAGGCAAAAUGGUGCCGUAACUUCGGGAGAAGGCACGCUGAUAUGUAGGUGAAGCGACUUGCUCGUGGAGCUGAAAUCAGUCGAAGAUACCAGCUGGCUGCAACUGUUUAUUAAAAACACAGCACUGUGCAAACACGAAAGUGGACGUAUACGGUGUGACGCCUGCCCGGUGCCGGAAGGUUAAUUGAUGGGGUCAGCGCAAGCGAAGCUCUUGAUCGAAGCCCCGGUAAACGGCGGCCGUAACUAUAACGGUCCUAAGGUAGCGAAAUUCCUUGUCGGGUAAGUUCCGACCUGCACGAAUGGCGUAAUGAUGGCCAGGCUGUCUCCACCCGAGACUCAGUGAAAUUGAACUCGCUGUGAAGAUGCAGUGUACCCGCGGCAAGACGGAAAGACCCCGUGAACCUUUACUAUAGCUUGACACUGAACAUUGAGCCUUGAUGUGUAGGAUAGGUGGGAGGCUUAGAAGUGUGGACGCCAGUCUGCAUGGAGCCGACCUUGAAAUACCACCCUUUAAUGUUUGAUGUUCUAACGUUGACCCGUAAUCCGGGUUGCGGACAGUGUCUGGUGGGUAGUUUGACUGGGGCGGUCUCCUCCUAAAGAGUAACGGAGGAGCACGAAGGUUGGCUAAUCCUGGUCGGACAUCAGGAGGUUAGUGCAAUGGCAUAAGCCAGCUUGACUGCGAGCGUGACGGCGCGAGCAGGUGCGAAAGCAGGUCAUAGUGAUCCGGUGGUUCUGAAUGGAAGGGCCAUCGCUCAACGGAUAAAAGGUACUCCGGGGAUAACAGGCUGAUACCGCCCAAGAGUUCAUAUCGACGGCGGUGUUUGGCACCUCGAUGUCGGCUCAUCACAUCCUGGGGCUGAAGUAGGUCCCAAGGGUAUGGCUGUUCGCCAUUUAAAGUGGUACGCGAGCUGGGUUUAGAACGUCGUGAGACAGUUCGGUCCCUAUCUGCCGUGGGCGCUGGAGAACUGAGGGGGGCUGCUCCUAGUACGAGAGGACCGGAGUGGACGCAUCACUGGUGUUCGGGUUGUCAUGCCAAUGGCACUGCCCGGUAGCUAAAUGCGGAAGAGAUAAGUGCUGAAAGCAUCUAAGCACGAAACUUGCCCCGAGAUGAGUUCUCCCUGACUCCUUGAGAGUCCUGAAGGAACGUUGAAGACGACGACGUUGAUAGGCCGGGUGUGUAAGCGCAGCGAUGCGUUGAGCUAACCGGUACUAAUGAACCGUGAGG